AGAAGCCUUCGGGUAAGUAUACCGGCGGAAGGGUGAGUAAUAUGUAGUUAACGUACCUUGAGGAGGGGGAUAAUUCUGGGAAACUGGUUGUAAUACCCCAUGAGACCACGGUGUCUUCGGGCACAGGGGUUAAACGGGCGGGACCGUUCGCGGCCGCCUGCCUCAUGAGCGGACUACAUCUGAUUAGCUAGUUGGUGAGGUAACGGCUCACCAAGGCGACGAUCAGUAGCCGGCCUGAGAGGGUGUUCGGCCACACUGGGACUGAGACACUGCCCAGACUCCUACGGGAGGCUGCAGUCGCGAAUCAUUCACAAUGAACGCAAGUUUGAUGAUGCCACGCCGCGUGUAGGAAGAAGGCCUUCGGGUUGUAAACUACUGUCAGUUGAGGGGAAGUAUAGUUGUUGAAUAGAUGGCUAUUUGACUGCUCAUCAGAGGAAGCCCCGGCUAAACACGUGCCAGCAGCCGCGGUAAUACGUGUGGGGCGAGCGUUGUUCGGAAUUACUGGGCAUAAAGGGUCCGUAGGCGGUUUGCUAAGUCAGGGGUGAAAAUUCGGGGCCCAACCUCGAACUUGCCUUUGAUACUGGUGAACUUGAGUCCAUUAGGGGUGAGCGGAACGUGUGGUGUAGCGGUGAAAUGCGUAGAUAUCACACGGAAGGCCGGAGGCGAAGGCGGCUCACUGGGAUGGUACUGACGCUGAGGGACGAAAGCGUGGGGAGCAAACAGGAUUAGAUACCCUGGUAGUCCACGCCGUAAACGAUGAGCACUAGAUGGGUGCCUUUCUAGGGGUGCCUGUCGGAGAUAAUUUGUUAAGUGCUCCGCCUGGGGAGUACGGUC
Molecule: ribosomal RNA, 834 nt
Filed under: uncultured bacterium
Lineage: Bacteria
Description: bacterial SSU rRNA
Rfam family: Bacterial small subunit ribosomal RNA
Source: RNAcentral